RNAcentral lists this non-coding RNA (28 nucleotides) under Rattus norvegicus (Norway rat). The record is from RNAcentral. Lineage: Eukaryota; Metazoa; Chordata; Mammalia; Rodentia; Muridae.
UUUGACAUCUAAGUACUAAGAAGAGACC